This 1962-nucleotide ribosomal RNA is filed under the name human gut metagenome. Its description in RNAcentral is "bacterial LSU rRNA". It matches the Rfam family "Bacterial large subunit ribosomal RNA", at positions 1 to 1977 of the family's 2925-position model. The record is from RNAcentral.
GAAAGUAAAUAAGGGCGCAUGGCGGAUGCCUUGGCUCUCGGAGGCGAUGAAGGACGUGAUAAGCUGCGAUAAGCUUCGGGUAGGUGCAAAUGACCUUUGAUCCGAAGAUUUCCGAAUGGGACAACCCGGCAUUCUGAAGGAAUGUCAUCCAACUUGGUUGGAGGCUAACGCAGGGAACUGAAACAUCUUAGUACCUGCAGGAAAAGAAAAUAAAUAAUGAUUCCCCUAGUAGUGGCGAGCGAACGGGGAUUAGCCCAAACCACCCAUGUUACGGCAUGUGUGGGGUUGUAGGACCACGCUCUCGCAAGACAGUUAUUGAGAAGAAACGACUGGAAAGUCGUGCCAUAGACGGUGAUAGCCCGGUAUUCUAAGGUAACCGAAGCGUAGUGGUAUCCUGAGUAGCGCGGAGCACGAGGAAUUCUGCGUGAAUCAGCCGGGACCAUCCGGUAAGGCUAAAUACUCCCGAGAGACCGAUAGCGAACCAGUACUGUGAAGGAAAGGUGAAAAGCACUUCGAAUAGAAGAGUGAAAUAGUCCCUGAAACCAUGCGCCUACAAGCGGUCGGAGCAGCUUAAGUUGUGACGGCGUGCCUUUUGCAUAAUGAACCUACGAGUUACUUUUUCCGGCAAGGUUAAGCAUCUUGAGAUGUGGAUCCGAAGCGAAAGCGAGUCUGAACAGGGCGGAUAGUCGGAAGGAGUAGACGCGAAACCAAGUGAUCUACCCUUGGGCAGGUUGAAGGUUAGGUAACACUAACUGGAGGACCGAACCGAUAAGCGUUGAAAAGCUUCCGGAUGACCUGAGGGUGGGGGUGAAAGGCUAAUCAAACUUGGAGAUAGCUCGUACUCCCCGAAAUGCAUUUAGGUGCAGCCUUGAGAGUUACUAAUGUGAGGUAGAGCGACUGAUAAGAUGCGAGGGCUUCACCGCCUAUCAAGUCUUGAUAAACUCCGAAUGCGCAUUAGUUCUAUCUCAGGAGUGAGGGCAUGGGUGCUAAGGUCCAUGUCCUAAAGGAGAAGAAUCCAGACCAUCAGCUAAGGUCCCCAAAUAAACACUAAGUUGAACUAACGAAGUCAGAUUGCUAAGACAGCUAGGAUGUUGGCUUGGAAGCAGCCAUUCAUUUAAAGAGUGCGUAACAGCUCACUAGUCGAGGAGUUUGGCGUGGAUAAUAAUCGGGCAUAAGUGUUUUACCGAAGCUAUGGGAUCCUAAUGGAUCGGUAGGGGAGCAUUCCACUCUGCGUUGAAGGCUAAGCGUGAGCUUUACUGGAGCGUGUGGAAAAGCAAAUGUAGGUAUAAGUAACGAUAAAGGGGGUGAGAAACCCCCUCGCCGCAAGACUAAGGUUUCCUGAUCAACGCUAAUCGGAUCAGGGUUAGUCGGGUCCUAAGGCUCAGCCGAACGGUGAGGCCGAUGGCAGAACAGGUUAAUAUUCCUGUACUACCUGUAAGAGUGAUGUGGAGACGGAGGAGUGACAACGCCGCGGACUGACGGAAUAGUCCGUUAAAGGGUGUAGAUGUUGAUUAUCCCAGGCAAAUCCGGGAUAAGAGUCGAACCUGAUAGUAUACCAAUUUCCCCGGAAAACGGUAAUAGUGCGUGUAAACAUACUCCCAAGAAAAUCCGCUAAACUUAAUCUUACAGGUACCCGUACCGUAAACGGACACACGUAGUCGGGUUGAAUAUACUCAGGCGCUUGAGUGAAUCACGGUUAAGGAACUAGGCAAAUUGACCCUGUAACUUCGGGAUAAAGGGUCCCUACCCGGUGACGGGAGGGCGCAGAGAAUAGGUCCAGGCAACUGUUUAACAAAAACACAGGGCUGUGCAAAAUUGAAAGAUCACGUAUACAGCCUGACACCUGCCCGGUGCUGGAAGGUUAAGAGGAGAUGUCAUCGCAAGAGAAGCAUUGAAUUGAAGCCCCAGUAAACGGCGGCCGUAACUAUAACGGUCCUAAGGUAGCGAAAUUCCUUGUCGGGU